AUUUUAACAACGGGUAUCGGUUUUGGCCUACGUGGCUGCUAGCUUACUUAUGUGGAUCUGCUUCCUCACUUUCCAACUUUGCCAUGUCAUCUUACAUAAAACGCCACACUUACUAACCAAACGACAUCACCAAAAAUAUAGGCAACCCCCAAAUCAAUUGAAAUCACAAAACCAAAUCCCUAAACCUGUCGUAGCAGCAGCCCUAAAAAUCAAACUCCUACUACCUUCAAAUUUGCUGAGUUGAAGACAUCAUGGACCGAUUCAAACCCAGGAAGGCGAUUUUAUGGCUGUUAUAAUCAUAAGAGGGGUGCAUGAUGCAAUUGUUCUCAAUGGUAUGAUCCCGCAGUAUCGAACAGAUUGUGAUUGUCGGGUUGUUGCGGAAACGGGACAUAAAUGAAAGACGAAAAUGGAAGAGCAGACUCAUAUUCUGUUCAUAAACUUCGUCUGUGUAAUGUGCUUUUGUUCCAAUCUGAAGGAAACAAAUACUGAGACUUUUUUUCAGCCUUCUCAGCAGUUAAUCAGAAACCUAACAACCAGUUGUUGAUUAUCAAAGUGUUGCUGUAGCUGGAGUUCUGUUCAUGGUUAAGAAAGAGCUUGUCAGGAGUAUUUGUCGAUUAUCAAUUUUAGCACCAUUGAACUGCAACCUCUUAAUUCCAACUUCACUAUGGCUCUCAGCUGGCAAUCGAUUAAGAAAAUGUUAAUCAGGAAGAAACUUAGAAACUAGAGUCAAGACGGAGCUCUCUGAUCAGCUAAAUCUAUAACUCGGAAACAUGUAGAGGGUUGAAUUCCCAGAUAUGAUACCGUUUAAGAUGACUCUGUUGUAAGUUGUUAAUAGAAUCAGAAAAUAGGACAAGAAGAAUGAGCAAACAGGUUGACUCACCGAGCUAUUUGCUGAUUCUUAGAGCCUUAGAAUCUUUGGUUAUGGAAUUCUCGAUUACUGUACUAUCUCCUUUAUAAUCUAGAGCUUCCAAAGAAUUCCAUGUCUAAUGGACUGUGAGAUCGCACAAAUCUUACAAGUAAUCCAAGAGCAGAUGGUUUUACUAUCUCAAGAUGCCACAAUCAAACUUCCAGGGUCAUUUGACAGGGCACUGCCACAUGCAAAUAAAGGUGAUCAUUAUAACCAUCUGCUACACUUGUAUAUUGUGGCAUUUUUUUUUGAGUGAACCGUCUCUUGUUGAAUUUUAACUCAAAAACCAGCGAAUUCAAAAAACAUGGCGUCUCUGAUGGGGAGAUACCAGUAAUAGCUAAUGUCUGUCCGGAGAGCGCAGAUGAAGAUUCUGCACUUGUCCGAUCAUUGAAGAUUGCGAGUGGUUCCAUUGUUUGAAACUGUGAAAGAUAUGCGAGGGGUUGGUUCAAUGACUAGAAAAACGUCAUCACGUUGGCGGUUGGUACAUCAUCGAUGGCUCCCGUGUAUUAGUAGUUUUUUUUUAAUCUUUGACAGUGUUCCCAUGUAUUAGUUGUUGGCUUUUUGUAUGUUUCAAUCAAUACUUACAAUGUGUUUAUGUAUUUAUAAACAAUACUCCCUCCAUCCAUUUUUAGUUGCCACUUUAGACUAAUAUAUUUAUCCAUUAAUAGUUGUCACUUUA
Mercurialis annua (annual mercury) is the source of this 1586-nucleotide long non-coding RNA. RefSeq lists it as uncharacterized. The record is from RefSeq and is a predicted model, not a curated record. NCBI's taxonomy places the organism in Eukaryota, Viridiplantae, Streptophyta, Magnoliopsida, Malpighiales, Euphorbiaceae. The transcript is spliced from 7 exons.